This 584-nucleotide ribosomal RNA is filed under the name uncultured bacterium. RNAcentral's name for it is "bacterial SSU rRNA". It matches the Rfam family "Bacterial small subunit ribosomal RNA", at positions 338 to 915 of the family's 1533-position model. The record is from RNAcentral.
CCUACGGGAGGCAGCAGUAGGGAAUCUUCCACAAUGGACGAAAGUCUGAUGGAGCAACGCCGCGUGAGUGAUGAAGGUUUUCGGAUCGUAAAACUCUGUUGUAAGGGAAGAACAAGUACGAGAGGUAAUGCUCGUACCUUGACGGUACCUUGCGAGAAAGCCACGGCUAACUACGUGCCAGCAGCCGCGGUAAUACGUAGGUGGCAAGCGUUGUCCGGAAUUAUUGGGCGUAAAGCGCGCGCAGGCGGCCUUUUAAGUCUGAUGUGAAAGCCCCCGGCUCAACCGGGGAGGGUCAUUGGAAACUGGAAGGCUUGAGUACAGAAGAGAAGAGUGGAAUUCCAUGUGUAGCGGUGAAAUGCGUAGAGAUGUGGAGGAACACCAGUGGCGAAGGCGACUCUUUGGUCUGUAACUGACGCUGAGGCGCGAAAGCGUGGGGAGCAAACAGGAUUAGAUACCCUGGUAGUCCACGCCGUAAACGAUGAGUGCUAGGUGUUGGGGGGUUUCCGCCCGUCAGUGCUGAAGCUAACGCAUUAAGCACUCCGCCUGGGGAUACGGCCGCAAGGCUGAAACUCAAAGGAUUGACG